RNAcentral lists this ribosomal RNA (210 nucleotides) under Dunaliella salina. Its description in RNAcentral is "5.8S ribosomal RNA". The stretch from base 5 to 158 matches the Rfam family "5.8S ribosomal RNA". From Rfam's summary of the family: 5.8S ribosomal RNA (5.8S rRNA) is a component of the large subunit of the eukaryotic ribosome. Lineage: Eukaryota; Viridiplantae; Chlorophyta; Chlorophyceae; Chlamydomonadales; Dunaliellaceae. The record is from RNAcentral.
AGACAACUCUCAACAACGGAUAUCUUGGCUCUCGCAACGAUGAAGAACGCAGCGAAAUGCGAUACGUAGUGUGAAUUGCAGAAUUCCGUGAAUCAUCAAAUCUUUGAACGCAAAUUGCGCCCAAGGCUUCGGCUGAGGGCAUGUUUGCCUCAGCGUCGGGUUAAUCUCACUUCCUCUCUCCCACACUGUGUGUGGAGUGAACAAACUGGC